This 485-nucleotide ribosomal RNA is filed under the name uncultured bacterium. RNAcentral's name for it is "bacterial SSU rRNA". It matches the Rfam family "Bacterial small subunit ribosomal RNA", at positions 328 to 793 of the family's 1533-position model. The record is from RNAcentral.
UGACAGUACUCCUACGGGGAGGCAGCAGUGGGGGAAUAUUGCACAAUGGGCGCAAGCCUGAUGCAGCCAUGCCGCGUGUGUGAAGAAGGACCUUCGGGUUGUAAAGCACUUUCAGUCGUGAGGAAGGUAGUGUAGUUAAUAGCUGCAUUAUUUGACGUUUAGCGACAGAAGAAAGCACCGGCUAACUCCGUGCCAGCAGCCGCGGUAAUACGGAGGGUGCGAGCGUUAAUCGGAAUUACUGGGCGUAAAGCGCAUGCAGGUGGUUUGUUUAAGUCAGAUGUGAAAGACCCGGGGCUCAACCUCGGAAUAGCAUUUGUAAACUGGCAGACUAGAGUACUGUAGAGGGGGGUAGGAAUUUCAGGUGUAGCGGUGAAAAUGCGUAGAGAUCCGAAGGAAUACCGGUGGCGAAGGCGGCCCCCCUCGGACAGAUACUGACACUCAGAUGCGAAAGCGUGGGGAGCAAACAGGAUUAGAUACCCUGGUAG